RNAcentral lists this long non-coding RNA (2843 nucleotides) under Homo sapiens (human). RNAcentral's name for it is "HSALNT0387434". Lineage: Eukaryota; Metazoa; Chordata; Mammalia; Primates; Hominidae. The record is from RNAcentral.
AGAACAGGAUUUCUGAGCAUGCAGUCAUAACUCUAGGUCAUUCAUUAAUUUCAGGCCCUGCUAGCAGAUACCAAGGAUGACAGUGAAAACAGUCACACGGAAGAAGGAGGGAGGGAGGACCGUGCACUACAAAGAACUCUUUUACACCGAGUUGAGAAAUCAUCGGGUUGUUAGAAUUGGACAGAACAUUUAACUCCCAUUCCUUUAUCAUCUAAAAUCUGAUAUCAUGUCAUUUGGUUCACUUCCUACAAAUAAUUACCUUUUGGCUACAUCAAGGUUAUAAUGAUAAGUUAUCAUUUCGGAGCCCAGACUACAGCCCUCGAACCAAGCUAAGUGACUUAAGUGUGCCAUCUCAUUUAACCCCCACAAAGAUUAUACUUGGCCAGGCUGAUAUCACUUAUUUCAUUUCACAGAUGAGGAUAUUGAUCUCAUGGUCACAAAGCUAGUAAACGGCCGAGAAUCACGCCUCGGUCUGUCCAGCUUCAAAACCUGGAUCCAUCACCAUGACACGCUGCUGAAUGAGGCCCGGGUUCGAGAGUAUCACACUUUAAAAAUAUCAUGAUGCAGAUGAGGAUGUGGUACAGUGAUGACUACCAUGUACACAGUACAUUCUAGACACACACUGUCCCCAAGUGCUUCUCUGCAUCUUCACUUAGUCCCCACUGCAACCCCAUGAGGCCAGCACUGUGACUGGAGGAUGCUGAGAGCAGUGAGGUGAAAUAAGCUGCCCGGCGUCACACAGCUGGGAACUGGCAGAAUUGGGAUUCCAGCUCAGGGAAGCGCCCAUGCUCUUAACUCUUAGGCUACACUGCCUGGCUCUUGGGUGGGGGAUCACUGCAGACAGAGUUAAGCUUUGGUGUGUGGGGGGCGGGGGAGGCAGGGGGAGGGGCAGGUGCUUCAAAGAUGGAAGGGAACACAGAGAAGGGACUUUGCCAACUAAUAUUAGCACAAGUCACAUACUGAGACGAAGGUUUUAAAGAGGAUUUUUUUCCCCCGCUAUUUGAGUUCAUGAGAAGAGUUUGUUACCUAUUGAACAAAUAGUCUUCACUAAUAAAGAACAAUGUGACAAGAAGUCAGCACUGUUCUUAGAUAACUGGGGACACAGGGAGGGCACUCCAGUGUUCCCAUGGAAGGAAUGAAUUCGGGCACAGUCCGUCCCGUGCAACUCCCCUAGGGAGAGAAGGGGCAACUGGAUUCCUCUCGACAAACUAGAAACUUUGUGACAAUGACAAGCUGUUCCCACCCCGGCCCUCCCCUAGGAUGCUGGAGAGCCCAGAGAGGGAAGAGAAGAAACCCAGCGUUGGUGCGGUGCCCACCGCGGACUCGACUUCAUUCCACCUUCACGCUGAGAGGUGACACCGUCGUUCCCACAGUGAGACCUGGCGCUCGGGUGCCCCAGGGGGGGUUGCCCAAGGUCACAGAACAGCAAGCAGCAGGCCAAGAUACCUAGAGAGAGUUCGCGGGGCCGGAGGCUCCCUGCUGUCUCCUGCAAGUGCGUGGGGGUGGGGUCUGAUUUCCACCCGUGUUGGACGUCAGCGGCCUCCGACGCUUUUUGGAAGCAGACUUUUCAGGAACACCUGCUGUGUGGCCGGCACUGUAGUAGGUGCCAGGGAUACAAAGAAGAAACUUUCAGGGCUCUUAGGAAGACAGGAAAACAAGUCAAUCAGCAAUGGUCCUAGCGUGAUGAGGAAACUGAGGUUCUGAAUGAUUAGAUGACUCACCCGAUAUCACACAGCUGGUAAGCACGUGAACCAGGAUGAGAAACCCAGGCUAUCUAUGCCAGUGCCCAGUUAACCAGUUCACCAGAACACCAGAAGCCGCCCCCAGGGCUGCAAGCUGACCAUGCCUGGGACACAGGAGGUUGCAGUGGUGAAGAUCAACAGGCGGGGCGAGGAGCAUCUCCGUCUCCCUCUGAAGACCAUUUGGAAGAGGGUGUGAGAGCUGCCGCCAGGCUUUCCCAGAGAACAGCUGGGCCUGGAAGGGGCGGUCCAGGUCCCAUAAUAACUGCUACCUGCUGCUGCAGCAAUUUUCCCUGCUGGGUGUUUCCAAGUCCGAGUCUCCUGGGGGAGGAGGCUGGGAGGAGGAGGAGGAGGAGGGCUGAUUCUCUAAACUCCCCCUGCUUCUCACCAAAGGUCUGUCCUUGGCCCAGCUUCCCUUCCGAAGGUUGAGUAAUCUCAAAAAAUUGCAGCCUGGCAUGAAAGAGCAGGCCUGCAGGCCAAGCCAGAUCACGUCCGCACGCGGGAUGCUUGGCCCACAUGCUCCUGUACACUUGUAACUGUUAAACCAGAGGACAAGAAGCAACAGAUGUCCUCAGAUCACCAAACCAGCAAAUGCGCAGAGCCAUGGUGGGCGUCUGGCCCCAGUGCUUGGGUGGCCCCUAACAUCAGAUUAAGGAAAAAAGACCUCUCCUCAGCUGGAACGUCCCACUUCCUCCUCCCUCCUCCUCACCAGUAUUUUUCUCUCUGCUUUGCCUGGAUUGGAGUCCUGACCUGGCUACUCCCAGCUGUGUGAACUGGGCCAGCAACUUAGCUCCGUUGUGCCUCAGUUUCUCCAUCUCUAAAUGAAGCGCUUAUUCCUCUCUCAUGGAGCCGUCGUGAGAAUUACGUGAAUGAAUACAGGCUGACUACUUUGAACAGUGCCUGGUACGUAAAGCCCUGUACACUGUAGCUUUUGCUGAUGGUGGUAGACACUCUGCUAUUUAGAGAGGUGUUCUUUCUCUCGAGGCUUUGAUUCCUGCUAAAACAGAAAUCAUUUGGAAAUGGACACUUUUUCUGCCAUUUAGAGAGGUAUUCUUUGUCUUGAGCCUUUGAUUCCUGUUAAAAUAGAAAUGAUUCAAAAAUGAA